This 976-nucleotide ribosomal RNA is filed under the name Microbacterium maritypicum. RNAcentral's name for it is "bacterial SSU rRNA". It matches the Rfam family "Bacterial small subunit ribosomal RNA", at positions 37 to 1021 of the family's 1533-position model. Lineage: Bacteria; Bacillati; Actinomycetota; Actinomycetes; Micrococcales; Microbacteriaceae. The record is from RNAcentral.
UGGCGGCGUGCUUAACACAUGCAAGUCGAACGGUGAACACGGAGCUUGCUCUGUGGGAUCAGUGGCGAACGGGUGAGUAACACGUGAGCAACCUGCCCCUGACUCUGGGAUAAGCGCUGGAAACGGCGUCUAAUACUGGAUAUGUGACGUGACCGCAUGGUCUGCGUCUGGAAAGAAUUUCGGUUGGGGAUGGGCUCGCGGCCUAUCAGCUUGUUGGUGAGGUAAUGGCUCACCAAGGCGUCGACGGGUAGCCGGCCUGAGAGGGUGACCGGCCACACUGGGACUGAGACACGGCCCAGACUCCUACGGGAGGCAGCAGUGGGGAAUAUUGCACAAUGGGCGCAAGCCUGAUGCAGCAACGCCGCGUGAGGGACGACGGCCUUCGGGUUGUAAACCUCUUUUAGCAGGGAAGAAGCGAAAGUGACGGUACCUGCAGAAAAAGCGCCGGCUAACUACGUGCCAGCAGCCGCGGUAAUACGUAGGGCGCAAGCGUUAUCCGGAAUUAUUGGGCGUAAAGAGCUCGUAGGCGGUUUGUCGCGUCUGCUGUGAAAUCCGGAGGCUCAACCUCCGGCCUGCAGUGGGUACGGGCAGACUAGAGUGCGGUAGGGGAGAUUGGAAUUCCUGGUGUAGCGGUGGAAUGCGCAGAUAUCAGGAGGAACACCGAUGGCGAAGGCAGAUCUCUGGGCCGUAACUGACGCUGAGGAGCGAAAGGGUGGGGAGCAAACAGGCUUAGAUACCCUGGUAGUCCACCCCGUAAACGUUGGGAACUAGUUGUGGGGUCCAUUCCACGGAUUCCGUGACGCAGCUAACGCAUUAAGUUCCCCGCCUGGGGAGUACGGCCGCAAGGCUAAAACUCAAAGGAAUUGACGGGGACCCGCACAAGCGGCGGAGCAUGCGGAUUAAUUCGAUGCAACGCGAAGAACCUUACCAAGGCUUGACAUAUACGAGAACGGGCCAGAAAUGGUCAACUCUUUGG